Non-coding RNA from Bemisia tabaci, 315 nucleotides. The record is from RefSeq and is a predicted model, not a curated record. NCBI's taxonomy places the organism in Eukaryota, Metazoa, Arthropoda, Insecta, Hemiptera, Aleyrodidae.
GUCAACAGUUGGAACGGUCCACCGCCCAACUAUCCGGUAUCCAACUUGGAACACUAAAUUCAAAUUCAUUUCAAUUCAGUGAAUUCACCUCACCAAGCCGCCAAGCCGACCCGACCCGUACCCGUACGCAACGGUUACGGUCGACCAUGCCGUUACUUUGAAAAUGAAAUAAUUAAUCCAAAAUUUGAUCUCCUUAGUUGUUUUCGUGAUUCGUAUCAUCGGCAUCCACCUCACUGUACCUAACUUCAUCAAACACAGAUCGACACUUCCGGAACUUGCGAUAUCACAUGUGCAUCGCGCUGCUUAGUGCCAUUU